Electrophorus electricus (electric eel) is the source of this 571-nucleotide long non-coding RNA. RefSeq lists it as uncharacterized. The record is from RefSeq and is a predicted model, not a curated record. Lineage: Eukaryota; Metazoa; Chordata; Actinopteri; Gymnotiformes; Gymnotidae.
ACCUAUGUGCAGAGUGCAGAGUUGCAGAUUAACACACUCAUCAGACUACAGGGCCCGCCUCUCCCCCGUCCAUGCUGACCACAGCCAGGACUACGGAGAGCAGCACACAACUGCACUGUGGUUUUUUCUUCAAGCGAGAGAAAGAAUAAAAGCCUUCACACAUCUGUCCUGCACACAGUAUUAACUGACCUAACGCUGCUGUUCACCAUGACAUCAUCUCAGUACAAACACUGAGAAGUGGAACAUACCGUCGCCCACGAGCUGCCCCCUUACACAAACCGCCCCCCACCCCAUCCGCUCAUUAAACAUAAAAGUGAAGUUCGCCACUCACCGAGUGCAGUGUACAAGUUCACCACUCAACAUCUUUUCACAUCACCCGUCAUCUCACCUGAAGCUGAAGUCAUGAGCACUCUUGCUCGAGCACUCGUUCUGGGUCUGCUGCUGGUCGCGUGUCUUCAGUUGAGCGUAAUGGGCCAAAAUGCAAACGAACCGAAGGAAUGCUGUUUUAAGUUUUUUGAGAAACCAAUCCGUGCAAGAUCUAUUACAACAUAUGGAAUGACGAGACCGGAGU